CCUACGGGAGGCAGCAGUGAGGCAUAUUGGUCAAUGGCCGCCGGGCUGAACCAGCCAAGUCGCGUGAGGGAUGACGGUCCUAUGGAUUGUACACCUCUUUUGUCAGGGAGCAAAGGGCGCCACGUGUGGCGCUUUGCGAGUACCUGAAGCAAAAGCAUCGGCAAACUCCGUGCCCGCAGCCGCGGUAAUACGGAGGAUGCGAGCGUUAUCCGGAUUUAUUGGGUUUAAGGGGUGCGCAGGCGGAAUGUCAAGUCAGCGGUAAAAUUUCGGGGCUAAACCCCGUCGUGCCGUUGAAACUGGCGUUCUUGAGUGAGCGAGAAGUAUGCGGAAUGCGUGGUGUAGCGGUGAAAUGCAUAGAGACCACGCAGAACUCCGAUUGCGAAGGCAGCAUACCGGCGCUCAACUGACGCUCAUGCACGAAAGCGUGGGUAUCGAACAGGAUUAGAUACCCCAGUAGUC
This 459-nucleotide ribosomal RNA is filed under the name uncultured bacterium. Its description in RNAcentral is "partial 16S ribosomal RNA". It matches the Rfam family "Bacterial small subunit ribosomal RNA", at positions 338 to 795 of the family's 1533-position model. The record is from RNAcentral.